This 621-nucleotide ribosomal RNA is filed under the name uncultured Actinomycetes bacterium. RNAcentral describes it as "bacterial SSU rRNA". It matches the Rfam family "Bacterial small subunit ribosomal RNA", at positions 556 to 1177 of the family's 1533-position model. Lineage: Bacteria; Bacillati; Actinomycetota; Actinomycetes. The record is from RNAcentral.
GGGCGUAAAGAGCUCGUAGGCGGUUUGUCGCGUCUGCUGUGAAAUCCCGAGGCUCAACCUCGGGCCUGCAGUGGGUACGGGCAAACUAGAGUGUGGUAGGGGAGAUUGGAACUCCUGGUGUAGCGGUGGAAUGCGCAGAUAUCAGGAAGAACACCGAUGGCGAAGGCAGAUCUCUGGGCCAUUACUGACGCUGAGGAGCGAAAGCGUGGGGAGCGAACAGGAUUAGAUACCCUGGUAGUCCACGCCGUAAACGUUGGGAACUAGAUGUAGGGUCCAUUCCACGGAUUCUGUGUCGCAGCUAACGCAUUAAGUUCCCCGCCUGGGGAGUACGGCCGCAAGGCUAAAACUCAAAGGAAUUGACGGGGGCCCGCACAAGCGGCGGAGCAUGCGGAUUAAUUCGAUGCAACGCGAGGGACCUUACCAAGGCUUGACAUAUACCGGAAAAGCGUAGAAAUACGCUCCCCGCAAGGUCGGUAUACAGGUGGUGCAUGGUUGUCGUCAGCUCGUGUCGUGAGAUGUUGGGUUAAGUCCCGCAACGAGCGCAACCCUCGUCCUAUGUUGCCAGCACGUAAUGGUGGGAACUCAUGGGAGACUGCCGGGGUCAACUCGGAGGAAGGUAAU